GUAGAUUUAGGUUAAUUAUAAACUUUUAGUUUUCAAAACUAAAGAUAUUAUUCUAUU
Molecule: transfer RNA, 57 nt
Filed under: Loa loa (African eye worm)
Lineage: Eukaryota; Metazoa; Nematoda; Chromadorea; Rhabditida; Onchocercidae
Description: tRNA-Trp
Source: RNAcentral